CCAGACGGUUGGACGGUCGCUGUGCCGCGUGCUCUUUCGGGAGAUGGCGGGAUAGAGGAAAGUCCGGGCUCCAUGGAACACGGCGCCGGGUAACACCCGGGCGAGGCGACUCGACGGACAGUGCCACAGAGAACAGACCGCCGGAUUAUGCGGGAAGGGCUGAGGGUAUUCACGGCUAUUGAAAGGGGCGUUAUCGUCCGUUUCUUUGGUCCGAAACCCGGGUGCCUAAUCCGAUUCAGUCCGGUAAGGGUGAAACGGUGCGGUAAGAGCGCACCGCGCCGCCGGUAACGGUGGCGGCAGGGCAAACCCCGCCGGGAGCAAGGCCAAAUAGGGAUGAUGACAUGCCGUACCCUGCGUAAGCGGGAGGCGGCGUGUGGGUGCGUUCCACGCCCUGUCAUCCGGGUAGGCUGCUAGAGGUAACCGGUAACGGUUAUCCCAGAGGAAUGACCGUCCUCGACAGAACCCGGCUUACAGACCGUCUGGCUUU
Molecule: RNase P RNA, 487 nt
Filed under: Sinomicrobium sp.
Lineage: Bacteria; Pseudomonadati; Bacteroidota; Flavobacteriia; Flavobacteriales; Flavobacteriaceae
Description: RNase P RNA component class A
Rfam family: Bacterial RNase P class A
About the family: Ribonuclease P (RNase P) is a ubiquitous endoribonuclease, found in archaea, bacteria and eukarya as well as chloroplasts and mitochondria.
Source: RNAcentral